GUAUUUGGGGCGCAUUUGGUUUUGUGACCAAAAUCAAAAUUUGAAGGGAUUGGAAUAAGAAUCAGAAUACCAUAUUUUCUGAUUUGAUUGGUUAGUGAUCGGAAUAAAACUAGAAUUUAAAUACUAGAGGAGAGUAGGGAUUGGGUUUUGAGACUUGGUGUAUUUCUAUCCCCAUGAAAUCAGAAUUGAAAUAGAUUUUUUCAAAUCAAAUGGCUGGAAUGAUGGCUGGAACGA
This 234-nucleotide long non-coding RNA is filed under the name Elaeis guineensis (African oil palm). RNAcentral describes it as "long non-coding RNA (EGUI_LNC032813)". The record is from RNAcentral. Lineage: Eukaryota; Viridiplantae; Streptophyta; Magnoliopsida; Arecales; Arecaceae.